UACGGAGGGUGCAAGCGUUAUCCGGAAUGAUUGGGCGUAAAGCGUCCGCAGGUGGUUGUGUGUGUCUAUUGUCAAAGCAUCAUGCUUAACAUGAUAAAGGCAGUAGAAACUACACGACUAGAGUGCGUUCGGGGCAGAGGGAAUUCCUGGUGUAGCGGUGAAAUGCGUAGAGAUCAGGAAGAACACAGGUGGCGAAAGCGCUCUGCUAGGCCGCAACUGACACUGAGGGACGAAAGCUAGGGGUGCGAAUGGG
RNAcentral lists this ribosomal RNA (253 nucleotides) under uncultured bacterium. Its description in RNAcentral is "partial 16S ribosomal RNA". It matches the Rfam family "Bacterial small subunit ribosomal RNA", at positions 524 to 776 of the family's 1533-position model. The record is from RNAcentral.